Molecule: ribosomal RNA, 524 nt
Filed under: uncultured bacterium
Lineage: Bacteria
Description: partial 16S ribosomal RNA
Rfam family: Bacterial small subunit ribosomal RNA
Source: RNAcentral
GGCGAACGCUGGCGGCGUGCUUAACGCAUGCAAGUCGAACGAGGAUUUUAUAAGCUUGCUUAAAAAAUCCGAGUGGCAAACGGGUGAGUAACGCGUAGGCAACCUGCCUUUCCGAUGGGGACAACAGUUCGAAAGGACUGCUAAUACCGAAUGAUGUGUAUCUUCCACAUGGGAGACACACUAUAGAUGGCCUCUAUUUAUAAGCUAUCGCGGAAAGAUGGGCCUGGGUCUGAUUAGCGAGUUGGUGGGGUAACGGCCUACCAAAGCGACGAUCAGUAGCCGGUCUGAGAGGAUGAACGGCCACAUUGGGACUGAGACACGGCCCAAACUCCUACGGGAGGCAGCAGUGGGGAAUCUUCCACAAUGGACGAAAGUCUGAUGGAGCAACGCCGCGUGAGUGAAGAAGGUCUUCGGAUUGUAAAGCUCUGUUGUCAGGGACGAAUGUUGAGACUGUAAAUAAUGGUUUCAAAUGACGGUACCUGACGAGGAAGCCACGGCUAACUACGUGCCAGAAGCCGCCGUAA